This 301-nucleotide ribosomal RNA is filed under the name uncultured bacterium. Its description in RNAcentral is "partial 16S ribosomal RNA". It matches the Rfam family "Bacterial small subunit ribosomal RNA", at positions 509 to 809 of the family's 1533-position model. The record is from RNAcentral.
CAGUCGCCGCGGGAAUACGUAGGUGGCAAGCGUUGUCCGGAAUUAUUGGGCGUAAAGGGCUCGCAGGCGGUUUCUUAAGUCUGAUGUGAAGGCCCCCGGCUCAACCGGGGAGGGUCAUUGGAAACUGGGAAACUUGAGUGCAGAAGAGGAGAGUGGAAUUCCACGUGUAGCGGUGAAAUGCGUAGAGAUGUGGAGGAACACCAGUGGCGAAGGCGACUCUCUGGUCUGUAACUGACGCUGAGGAGCGAAAGCGUGGGGAGCGAACAGGAUUAGAUACCCCAGUAGUCCCUGUCUCUUAUAA